This 1104-nucleotide ribosomal RNA is filed under the name Triticum aestivum (bread wheat). RNAcentral describes it as "partial small subunit ribosomal RNA". Lineage: Eukaryota; Viridiplantae; Streptophyta; Magnoliopsida; Poales; Poaceae. The record is from RNAcentral.
AUGCCGGAAGACGACGCGUCCUUCCUCCUGUGCGCCGAGGACGCCUUCUUCUUUGUCGACGCCGCCACCGCCAGCACCUGCACCACCGCCGAGCAGAUCGGUGGCUGGUGCUCCGGCGCCGAGGAGGAGUCGGCGGCGGCCUCCUUCGUGGCCGAGCUCAUCGGCGGCGAGGCCGACUACUCGCCCCGGUCCGACUACUCCGACCGGCUCCGGUCGCGGUCCGUCGACCCCGCCGCCCGGGCCGACUCUGUUGCAUGGACUCUCAAGGUGCAAGAGUACUACGGAUUCCUUCCCUUGACGGCCUACCUCGCCGUGAACUACAUGGACCGGUUCCUCUCCCUCCACCGGCUGCCGGUAAGCUCGCCGCCCGGCGCCCGCCGUCCUCGCCCCGCCACGUCACCAACCCUCAACACACACAUCUCACCAUGUCAGACAACCAUGUCACGCGCGUAUCAGAUAACCAGCUUGUGCUCUGUAUCUUUCGCCAUGCAGGAGGAUGGAUGGGCAAUGCAGCUGCUAGCUGUGACCUGCCUCUCCUUGGCUGCCAAGAUGGAGGAGACCCUGGUGCCCUCCCUCCUAGACCUUCAGAUAGAGAGCACAAGAUACAUCUUCGAGCCGAGAACGAUCCUUCGAAUGGAGCUUCUCGUCCUCACGGCGCUCAACUGGAGGCUCCGAUCGGUCACGCCGUUCACAUUCAUCGACUUCUUCGCUUGCAAAGUUGACCCGAGAGGGAGGCACAUGAGAUACCUGAUCGCCCGAGCCACACAAAUUAUUUUAGCUGCGAUACAUGACAUCGAGUUCUUGGACCACUGCCCGUCGUCGAUGGCUGCCGCGGCGGUGCUGUGCGCCGCCGGUGAGACGCCGUCCCUCACAUUGCUCAACCCUAGGCUUGCAGUCAAUUGGUGCAUUGGCCUAGCAGAGGAAGGGGUGAGCAGCUGCUACCAACUAAUGCAGCAGCUGGUGGGUGGAAAGAGGGCAAAAACCACAGCAGCAGCGGCAGUUAACCUGUGCUCAGACGAGGUUCUGUCCUGUGAUUCCUCCUCCUGCACCACCCCACCCCCACCCAAGAGGAGGAAGAGGUCACCUCCACCGGUCAUCACAUGA